GGCACUGCCGUACACUCACCAACAACACACGCGAUGAAGUCCGAGGGGCGAAACGACGCCGGUUGACUGCUCGCGGCGCAGAAAAAUUGCGGAUGCGCAACUUAAUGCGAUCCAAAAGUACAACGGAAGCACCUUUUGCCUGGGCCAAACCUUAUGCUACAAGCUACCACAACAAACAUGGCGGGGAGGAGAAUGGGUUCACAAACCCCGCAUGCCUCAACCUUCGGAGCAGCCAUAAAACUAGCAGCAGCACAACGGUUAGUAAAAAUAGCAGCCCACGAGACUAUCAAAACGCCCACACCACGUACCACUCCCGCGAGCCCUUCGGAAGGGAAACACGAAAGCUAAGCAUCGAGCCAAAAAGGUCGUGGCAGAACUUUUCCGGACGUGCCAAGCACCGCGUGGAGAUCCCGCCUACGCUUUGCAGCAGACACACCCUAGGACUCUCCUGCACGAUGGACCAACUAGGACGGUCAUCAG
RNAcentral lists this unclassified non-coding RNA (480 nucleotides) under Allium parishii. Its description in RNAcentral is "partial external transcribed spacer". Lineage: Eukaryota; Viridiplantae; Streptophyta; Magnoliopsida; Asparagales; Amaryllidaceae. The record is from RNAcentral.